ACGUAGCAAUACGUUUGUAAAGCGGCGAACGGGUGAGGAAUACAUGGGUAACCUACCCUCGAGUGGGGAAUAACUAGCCGAAAGGUUAGCUAAUACCGCGUACGCUUCUUGGACUUCGGUUCAGGGAGGAAAGCGAUACCGUGGGUAUCGCGCUCUUGGAUGGGCUCAUGUCCUAUCAGCUUGUUGGUGAGGUAACGGCUCACCAAGGCUUCGACGGGUAGCUGGUCUGAGAGGACGAUCAGCCACACUGGCACUGCGACACGGGCCAGACUCCUACGGGAGGCAGCAGUAAGGAAUAUUGCGCAAUGGGCGAAAGCCUGACGCAGCGACGCCGCGUGGGGGAUGAAGGUCUUCGGAUUGUAAACCCCUUUCGGGAGGGAAGAUGGAAUGGGGUAACCCAUUCGGACGGUACCUCCAGAAGCAGCCACGGCUAACUUCGUGCCAGCAGCCGCGGUAAUACGAAGGUGGCAAGCGUUGUUCGGAUUUACUGGGCGUACAGGGAGCGUAGGCGGUUCGGUAAGCCCUCUGUGAAAUCUCCAGGCUUAACCUGGAACAGUCGGAGGGGACUGCCGGGCUAGAGGACGGGAGAGGAGCGCGGAAUUCCCGGUGUAGCGGUGAAAUGCGUAGAGAUCGGGAGGAAGGCCGGUGGCGAAGGCGGCGCUCUGGAACGUUUCUGACGCUGAGGCUCGAAAGCGUGGGGAGCAAACAGGAUUAGAUACCCUGGUAGUCCACGCCUUAAACUAUGAAUACUAAGUGUCGGCGGGUUACCGCCGGUGCCGCAGCUAACGCAUUAAGUA
Molecule: ribosomal RNA, 797 nt
Filed under: uncultured Nitrospira sp.
Lineage: Bacteria; Pseudomonadati; Nitrospirota; Nitrospiria; Nitrospirales; Nitrospiraceae
Description: bacterial SSU rRNA
Rfam family: Bacterial small subunit ribosomal RNA
Source: RNAcentral